GGUGGCCCCGCCCGCCUACGGGAGGCAGCAGUGGGGAAUAUUGCACAAUGGGGGAAACCCUGAUGCAGCCAUGCCGCGUGUGUGAAGAAGGCCUUCGGGUUGUAAAGCACUUUCAGUUGUGAGGAAAGUUUAGUAGUUAAUACCUGCUAGAUGUGACGUUAGCAACAGAAGAAGCACCGGCUAACUCCGUGCCAGCAGCCGCGGUAAUACGGAGGGUGCGAGCGUUAAUCGGAAUUACUGGGCGUAAAGCGCACGCAGGCGGUCUGUUAAGCUAGAUGUGAAAGCCCCGCGCUCAACGUGGGAGGGUCAUUUAGAACUGGCAGACUAGAGUCUUGGAGAGGGGAGUGGAAUUCCAGGUGUAGCGGUGAAAUGCGUAGAGAUCUGGAGGAACAUCAAUGGCGAAGGCAACUCCCUGGCCAAAGACUGACGCUCAUGUGCGAAAGUGUGGGUAGCGAACAGGAUUAGAUACCCUGGUAGUCCACACCGUAAACGCUGUCUACUAGCUGUUUGUGAAUUUAAUUCGUGAGUAGCGAAGCUAACGCGAUAAGUAGACCGCCU
This 558-nucleotide ribosomal RNA is filed under the name uncultured marine bacterium. RNAcentral describes it as "bacterial SSU rRNA". It matches the Rfam family "Bacterial small subunit ribosomal RNA", at positions 324 to 874 of the family's 1533-position model. The record is from RNAcentral.